UAGGGAAUAUUGCACAAUGGGCGAAAGCCUGAUGCAGCAACGCCGCGUGCACGAUGAAGGCCUUCGGGUUGUAAAGUGCUUUUCUGGAGGACGAGGAAGGACGGUACUCCAGGAAUAAGGAUCGGCUAACUACGUGCCAGCAGCCGCGGUAAAACGUAGGAUCCGAGCGUUAUCCGAAUUCACUGGGCGUAAAGCGCGUGCAGGCGGCCUGGUAAGUUGGAUGUGAAAUCUCCUGGCUCAACUGGGAGAGGACGUUCAAGACUGCCCGGCUCGAGGACGGUAGAGGGAGGUAGAAUUCCCGGUGUAGUGGUGAAAUGCGUAGAUAUCGGGAGGAAUACCAGUGGCGAAGGCGGCCUCCUGGACCGUACCUGACGCUCAGACGCGAAAGCUAGGGGAGCAAACGG
RNAcentral lists this ribosomal RNA (404 nucleotides) under uncultured bacterium. RNAcentral describes it as "bacterial SSU rRNA". It matches the Rfam family "Bacterial small subunit ribosomal RNA", at positions 355 to 775 of the family's 1533-position model. The record is from RNAcentral.